This 63-nucleotide transfer RNA is filed under the name Myrianida brachycephala. RNAcentral's name for it is "tRNA-Phe". The record is from RNAcentral. Lineage: Eukaryota; Metazoa; Annelida; Polychaeta; Phyllodocida; Syllidae.
AUUUAAAUAGCUUAAUAAAAGCAUAACUCUGAAGAUGUUAAUAUAGAGACCUCUCUUUUAAAU